CCUGGGUAUGCUUGGUGACUGCUGGUCUGUCCUUUUUCCUUGCCUUCAUCAUCUUAGUAGUAAUUCUUUCCACUUGGUAGAGAUUUACAUUGUUAGUUGAUGUUCUCUGUUGGCUUUCCGCAUCUGUGGAAAGCUAACUCUUGUGAAGUAGUAUAGGUAAUUGGAACAAUUUUAAGGACGAUGGUAACGUGAAGGUAAUGAGGAAAUUAUGGCCCUAGAUAGGGCGGAUUGGAGGAGAAGGAUUUGAACAAAUUAUCCCAACUAGUUUGGGACCAAGAGGUAGUCGGGUAAAUUUCACCAAUUGUCCCUCAACUAACUUUGACCCUUGUAAUGUGAUUGUUCCUGAACUUCAUAUUACAACAUAAAACCUCUUGAACUUUGAUUUGGUACACAUGAAAAUCCCGCUUAACUAAGAUAGCCAGUUCACAGGUUACAAGGUGGGUAAAUUUCAUUAACUAUCUCUUAACUUUGACCUUUGUAACAACUCUAUUCAUGGACUUCAGUUUGUAACCUAAAACUCUUUGAACAUUGAUCUACUGAACAAUAAAGCCUUUAUAAUCUAUUUUUGCUAGUUUUUUAUUACGAAGCUGAUUUAGUAGGUAUCAUAGAAAAAAAAAAUGAUUCCUCUGUGUCUCUCUCAUUCUCUCACUGCAUCUGCCAUCUUACACUUCUCCCAUUACCCAACCAAGCUCAGUUUCAAUACUCCAUGAACCACAGUAUGCAUCGUGCCUGGAAUGACUUGCUCUGCUCCAACUGAGUGGUGAACAACUUGGCGAAGAAGACCAAGUUGGGAACAUAGACAUUGAAGGGGUGAAGUCAUAGAUGAUGUCACCCAGUCCCGUUAUAGGACCAAAGUUGAGGAAUGAUGUGUGAAAUUUACUUAAAGGUGGUCAAGAGGAAAAACUUAAAGAAAUUGUUACCAAAAUAGUUGUGGAAAUUUUCUAUAUAUAAUAGGACAUUCUCCCAAAAAAAAACAAAGGCAGCAUGAAAGUUCAUUGCAAAAAGCAGAUACAUAGUAUUGAAGAUAGUGGAGGUGGUGGAUUGGUGUCACACUUACAAUAAAAAGGUGAAAGUUUGGCCUACCACGAAUCUUGUCUAAGGCAGACAGAUAAUCCAUUGGAACAUUUAAUGGCGUAUCUUCAUCAUGCUAAGUUUGCAUGUGCUCAGGGCCGGAGGCAGAAGAUUAUUUUUGAGGGGGUCAACAUUAUUGAUUCAAUACAUUAUUUAAUUACACUUAUUCUCUAUAUAUUUCUUAUUCACUAUAUAUUUUGAAGGGUUAAUAUUUUAUAUUCAAAAAUACCAUAAUAGAGUGUAAUUAAGCUAUAAUUUUUUUCAAGGGUGCUAAUACUUUAGAAAUUUUUUGAAUAUCUUAAUAAAAUAAUAAUUAUUUUUUUGGGAAGGCCAAUAGCUAAAAUAAAAUAAUUUGACCUAAAAUAAAUUAAUUUUUUUCUAAAUAUAUAUAUGUAUAAAGGGAAAAUUUAAAAGGGUUGGGGGGCCCAAGGGUCCCCUAGUCCCCCCUCCCUCCGCCCCUGCAUGUGCUUUAGAACUCUUUGAAGGAUUUUCAUAUCGUUGAAUGUUCAAAGGGGACAGAUCCAUUAGGAAGAUAAUGUUGGGACAUUUGCAAUGUAGGAAUUGAAGGCUAUGUAUCCUAACCACCAUUUUUUGGUUUUGUUAAAACAUACUUUCUGAAUCCAUUGAUGCCUUCCAAAAUCCAAAGUAGCAGAUAUUGAGUCCUGAUGUGUUUACAUUGAUUAAAAUUUUUACUAACAUUUUUGUUGCAGUCGGACAAUGGGAGAUACUGGUUCUGCGGUUGCUUAUUUUGAAGAGAGCAUAGAGUUCCUCUCCAAGUUGCCUACAGAUAAUCAGGAGAUACACUUUCUGUUUCUCUUAAUAAAGUUGGAGAUCUUAAAUAUUAUGAUGGAGAUUUGAAAGCUGCUAGAUCUUACUAUUUUCGUUCUCUCAAUAUGCGUUGUAAGGCCAUUAAACAUCACUCUCAUGUUUCAUCCCAGAGGCUAGAUGUGGCUGUUUCCCUGGCAAAGAUUGCUGAUGCAGAUAGGAGCCUUGGCAACGAAGAUGCCGCACUUGAUAGAUUUCAAGAAGCCAUAAAAUUGUUGGAAUCUUUGACAUUAAAACCUGAAGAAGCUGCUCUUGAGCAAUGUCGCCUUUCAGUGCUGGAAUUUCUUAAAAAUCAGCUUUCAGAUAAACAGUCUGAUUAAACUUGCUGAAGUCGGCUCCUCUCUGGCAGUUCUUUCAGAGAAUAAACUCAAGCUAAAUAAAAUGGCCCUUUUCCUGUAUAUAUAGAAAAUGAACUUCAUUAUCAAAUAUGCGCAGUUUUAGCAAUGGUGAUUUGAUUCCCAAAAGAUCAAAAGGUUUCAGAGAAUGUUUCUGGCAGUUCUGGAUUGCUCUUGCCAUGUGUCAUUUAUAGAUAUACAUACCUCUGAUAUAGCAUUACUCAAUUAGUGCCUGUAUGAGUUUUUACUCAGCUGUUGUGCAGUGUAAGUUGCUCAACCACUUGAAGUUCAGUGUUUUUGGAUCUUGUGGUCGAUGCGUCGGAAUUUGCGAUUAUCAUUCCUUCCACUCAAUGCAAUUUUUGUUUCUUAGAGUUGUCCUUCUGUGAGCAAGGACAGCUUAAUGUAUAUGCUAUGCUAUCUUAUUAGAAACUAGAAAGCACAGAUCAUCACAGACAAACGAAGGAUAUGGUGCAGAUUCUCGCUUUUUGUUUAUCUAUUUUUUCUGGGUUGUUUUCUCCUCCUUUUCUUGCUUUCUCUUUUAUUAUAUUUUUAACUUUUUUUUUUUUAAAUUCCUAGUG
RNAcentral lists this unclassified non-coding RNA (2809 nucleotides) under Hevea brasiliensis (rubber tree). Lineage: Eukaryota; Viridiplantae; Streptophyta; Magnoliopsida; Malpighiales; Euphorbiaceae. The record is from RNAcentral.